UUCAACAUUCCCCAUCACCUCCAGCGCCAACAUCGACUCAUCUCUUGAGACCCUACAGGGCGCUCCUUCCGAGCCGCCCUGUUACCGCCGUCCUUGACGCAAUUUCCUGAAAGGAGACAAAGAGCCAUUUACUGGAACCGGGGCUGCCCCUGGAUUCUGAAAACUGACGGGAGGAAGGAAGAGUGUCCGGCCACUGGUCUAGUCCUUCCCGUUCACAGAUCUCAGGAAGUCCUGGGCGUGCCCCAGAGGCCUCGUGUCCAGGCACGUCAGGAAUCGGAGGGAAAAGCCCCAUCUCCACGAACCCCUCCUCUCAGGCCCCCAAAGCCCCUUGCUCGGGGCCCUGCACUCACUAGAGGCUCAGAGGCGGGCAGGACCAGAGGGAAGAGCGCAGGGGGCAGAAGGAGGCACCGCACAGAGAGAGGGCAGCCCCGCGGCCCGGGCCCUUUGCCCGUCUUUGGGGAGCAGCUGAGCAGGCCCGGUCUUAGAGCUGCACAAGCCAGAGGCAGGUGCUGAUUCCCUGGGGCUUUUGCAAAGCAGCAGCACGCAUGGGGCCCCGGGGCCUGGGGGGCUCCGGUCCCGCGUGGGAGCCCCGGUGGCGGGGGCCUGCGUUCAGUCGGGUUCCGACGACAGCCUCAGGCGAGCCUCCGAUGCCCACGCACAGCCUCUCCCGUGGCCGUUGGAUCCAAAUUCUGCGGAACCCAGAAAUCCCUAUUCAGAUGGAGGUCUUCUCCUUAAAAAGCAGCCGGUGAAUUCCAGACACUCGUAUCCUCCUUUGCACGCGUCUCCGCGCCUCGAACGCCGUCCUGCUCCUGCUCCUGCUCCGGGCAGAGGAACAAAGGGGAGCAGCUGAGGUUCUCUCUGGGCUGGUCCCCAGGAGCUGCCGGCGGAAUGGGUCUGCGGGGGCCUGAGGACUGACAGGUGCACAUUAAGGAUGGCUGGGUCUUCCUGGAUCCCGUCAGCAGCACGUAAUGCCCGUCUCCAUCGUGAGGACGUCCCCUGCCCUUAAACCUGCUCGGUGUGGGGAUGAGGCGACUCUGGUGUUUCGUGGUCGGUGUUGGGGCAGCGCGUCCUUCUCUGUCCCUUUGCCCGUAUCCACCUGGCCUUCGUGUGUGACGAUUUCCAGUACUAUGUUGAAUGAAGUGGUGAGAGUGGACAUCCUUGUCCUGUUCCUGGUCUUUGAGGGACUAAAAGCUUUCAGCUUUUCCCCACUGAGCAUGCUGCGAGCUGUGGGCUUGUCGUAUGUGGCCUUUAUUAUGUUGAGGAGCCUGUGUGUGGGUCCUGGGGUCUCCUGUGGAGCCUGCUGAGGGGGGCGCUCAGUCAAGGACCUGACCACGAUCGCAGGGGAUGCUGUGCACAGGCCUUGAAAAUGGGAGGGGCCUCUUCUCCAGAGUUAUUGGGAACGGCGGAAGGUUCUGGAAGACGCGUCUAUUAAAGAGGUCACUUCUGCUUGGCAACAAACCGGACCACGAGGCUGGAUCAGGUUCGGUGUGAAUGUCCACACUGGGCGGCCACGAGGCUGGAUCAGGUCGGGGGUGGGCGUCCACAUGGGGCAGCUGGGCCGGCACGCUGACCUCCCAUGGAUGCUGUCGCUCUGGUCUGGGAGAAAUCCCACAGCAGCUCGGUGGACCCCGACCACCACGGCAGCCACGGGUGUGAGCCACUGCCUGCCGGCCGUCUCUUCCGCUCCGCACUGGGGCUUCCUGCCCCUUCAGGGGAUUUUGGGGUCCGGGAGGAGGUGAGACGCUGCCUUGUGUAGAGUCUGCCGUCCCUUGUUGGGGGGACGCUGGGAUUCCCUGAAAGGCGCUGUCCCUGUGGUCUGGGGGAGCGGCUCCCCACCGCCGUCCGGGCCUGAGUGUGUGGGUGGGGGCUCCCCCUCGCCGGCCCCCCUCCCUGGUCUCCGGGCCGAGAACGAGCUGUGGAGACAGGGCCCGGUGUGCCUUGGGCACCGUGUCACCUCAGCGAGGGCCUCAGGGUCCUAACUGCGAGGUCAGUGCUGGGCGGGAGGACAUGUGUUAGAUCCGCAGAAGUGGCCCGUGCCUUUCUUCCUCCUUCCUGCUCUCGGAUCCUAAACCUGUCCCAGGUUCAACAGUGGCCUCAAUCGGAAUGGUGGCAUCGCAGGACCUCAGGGUGACAGUGUAGGGAGAUGGGGUCUUUAUGGGGGGGAUGUAGGUGAAAUGAGGUCAUAGGCGACCCUGAUCCAAUGUGGUGGGUGUCCCUAUGAGAAGAGGAGGUCAGGGCACACACACACAGGGACGACCCCGUGAGGAAACAGGACGGACGGUGUCUACAUGGCAAACAGAAGCCUCGGGAGGUACCAGCCCCCCACACACCUGGAUCUCGGCCUCUGGCCUCCAGAACCGCGAGAGGAGGGAGGUCUGUCAUCGAAAGUCCUGCAGUGCUUUGUCACGGGGGCCCCAGUGAAGGAACACACACCGGUCCCUGCUGUCCCCCAAGCAGCACCCAGCAUCCCACCAGGAGGUCAGUGACCCCACAGCUUUGGUGGGGGGGGGGUGGGACGGCGGCCUGAGGCACAGGCCCAGGUGCUGCACAGAAAUAGGGUCGAUUCAAAUAGGCGCUGGGCCUCCCCUCUUCCGCUCCCUCGCUCGGCUUCCGGUCUCCAUCCUCCUCGUGGGCAUAGCCUGUUGUGCGCAGAAAGAUCCGGAACGGAAAGGGCUUUCCGCUGGGGACGGGUCUGUCAGACUGGACGGGCAUGUCAGCUCAGAGUCCCCGAUUUCCGGGGUCCCAAGACCUGGAAAGGUCCAGCGGGUGUGGGCAUCGGGUUGUGGGCAUUGAGGAGAGGCCGGGGGCCUCCGCGGGGCUGGGGCCACAGUGAUUCGACUGAGAUGCUGAGCGUCAGGAGCUGCGGGGCCUCUCACGUCUGUCAGGUGGGGCCUUGCAGGUGGCCGUGUGUCUAUUGCACGUGUCCCUUCUGAGGCCUGUGAGCGCUGGGUGUGGGCAUCCCAGCCCCCGGGCCGGGCAAAAAGCCCACGGAGCCGACGUGGGUCCCACGGAAGGACCGCGGGGACACAGUGCAUCACCCACAGGAAGCCCAGUGGGGACUCAUGGGGCCAGAGAGCAGACCUGAUUCCUGUUGAUUGACUUCGCCUCGAAAGGGAAUUUAACAAUGAAAAGUGAAUUCCUCCUUGAAGCUUUGAUAAGGGGAGAGGGCUCACAUCCACGGCCCCCCCGGCCCCGGGGCACAGGGAGGACCGACCACGUGCCCCGAGGGCCAGCUCCUUGGUGGGCCCGGUGGAGCCUGGGGGGCAGGAGGAACCCCGCCCACGUGGCCCCAUGUCCCCUUCCCCAGGUGUUCCCGUGGGACCCGCCAGCCUCCCUGCCCAGGGCGUAGUGGGACUUUUUGACUGUCUGCCCUCUGCCUCCCCCGGGAGAUGAGCCCCUCGCGGCUCAGUGUCAGUGACUCCGGGCCAGCUCAGGUGUGGCCAGGGUUGGGACGGGGCGUCCAGCUGUGGGGGCGGAGGGUGAGUGGCCCACGCGGUGUAUGGGGUCUGGGGUGGGAGGUUCCCGUGGAUGCCCCUUCCUCCGAGGCUGGAGGCAGAGCCCAGAACUGGGGUCUCCUCCGGGUGGGGGUGGUCCGGGGGCCAGGAGGCCACAGAGGGUGUGUGGGUCUGAUGGCAGUGCCUCACAGGGCAGCUGUCUGAUGGAGGAGGGGGGCAGAGACGCGUCCGUGUGCCACAGCGCAGGGGUGGGGUGAGGGGGACGUGGCCUCCUUGGCAGAACGUAAGGUGGGCGUGUGGUGCCUUGCAGACCACAGACCAAGGGCUCCAGAGACACGGUGGGCCUUUGCGGGAAGGGAGGGAACAGGGAGCCCUGCGGGGGAGGGGUGUCGCGCGUUAACCAUGAGGGUGCCGGCCGCGGCUGCCCCCCAAGGUCUCCUGCGCGCCACGGUCAACAGAGGGCUGCCUGUCCCCUGAGCUGCGAGGGUGGGGGGGGGCACCCAACAAGCAGGUGGCGGGCGGGGGGACAGUGAGUGCAGCGCCUCCCCUGGGGCCACCGAGGGCCCCGCGGGCUGAUGGCUCCAGUGAGAUUCCUGCAGCAGGAGGGCCCUGGAGGCGCGUCGGGGUUUCCAGGCUUCUCUUCCCUGUUCUUUAGGGCAGCACGUCCCCUCCCCCGACAGAACCCCCGGGGCCUGCCUGGCGGAGCCUGUCUGUGGGUCUUGUUCGUGGGGCCCAUCCGUGGGGCCUCCCGGGGCCCAGGCUAUUGAAGUUCUCGCCCCAGACGCUCACACAGGGCACCCUUGUGCCGCGUUCCUUAGGGUCUCCGCCCCGUCACCGCCUGGAUUUCCUGCAGGCCCAGGGUCCCCUUAGCUGUCUGCACGUGGGCUGGAGUCUGCGUCCACGCACUCGCUCUUGGGGCGAUUUCCUCACGCAUGCGGCCACUGUGUCCUGCUCAGAGACCCCCUGUGGCCGCCCCACUCCCCGGCCCGUGCCCGGUGGCUCCUGGGGCCAGCUGUCUCUGCCUCAGAGGGUGUCCUCGAGGGAGGGGCCUGUCAGCAUGGCAGACGGGGACCACGAGCGUCCACGUCUGUGGGCAGGCCCCCUUCCUACAUCAGUUCUCAAAACGCGGCGUCUGGGUGUGAAAUGGGAUCGGGGUCCGCAGGAAGGGUUCUGGCGGCACAUUUGGCUCAGGGAGACGUGCAUCUUCUCCUGGGCCUGCGGUCAGGGCUCCAGGGAGCGGGAGACGCACCUCGGGCGCAGCGUGCUGGGCUCUCAGGGUUCCCACCCUGCUUCUUUCUGCUCGGGACCAGCAGUCCCAGCCUCCGCAGCGGACCCGUCCAGAUCUGAGCGUGGGACCCUCACGUGGCGCUCUUGGCCAGCACGUUUCCCGUGGACCUCCUGGCGGGCAGCCUGGCACAGUGGUGUAGCCGUGUCCCCGCAGACGUCACCAUGGAGCUUCAUGAGACGGUGGCCACGUGGCUCUGAGUGUUGGGGGGGUGGUGUCGGCAGUGAGGGCAGGUUACGGGCCCCCGAGAGCCUGGUUCCGUUUGUGAACAGAGUGUGGGCACCAAAGGGGACUUGGAAAGCGGUCCUCAUGUGUCUCAGCCCAUCGGGACGUCUGUAGCAAAGGCACCAUGGACAGGGGCUCACACAGACGAGUUCAUUCCCAUCUUCUGGAGGCGGGGAAUCCCAAGACCACGGCGCCACAGUCCCGCCAUCGGGUGAGGCUGCCUCCUAGCCGUGUCCUCCGGAGGUGGAAGGGGACCGAUUGUUUUGGGGGCCACAGAGGGGGACAGCGCGUCAACAUACGCCUUUGGGGAGGGGGGGCGGGCGCUCAGAGCACAGCAGUGCCCUUCACCCCCGGCCCCUUCGCUUCCCGGGUGGACUUCCAAGUCCUGGGGCGGCAGCUGAAUUCCCACCAGGCCCGGGGGGUGGGUCAGCAGGGCCGGAGCAGCGGGAGCUCAGUCCUCGCACGCGCUGAAAUCCGGCAGGAGCACACGGGACCCCAACUCGGGGACCCUUCCGCUUUCGAAUGUUCCACCGGCCAAGUGCUGGCCAGGAGGUUAGCAGUGUCACCGGGCUGAGGAUAUUUUUAGUUGGUAGACCUCAACUUUGACUUGUCCCUGAUUUGAAAACAUGCUUUUGUUGUAAAACUGAAAAAAAAAAAAAGCUUGUUAGAGAGGGGCUGGAAAACA
This is an RNA transcript of Felis catus (domestic cat), 5650 nucleotides long. It is a transcript of the gene named transcription initiation factor TFIID subunit 4-like, with no coding region annotated. The transcript is spliced from 6 exons. The record is from RefSeq and is a predicted model, not a curated record. Lineage: Eukaryota; Metazoa; Chordata; Mammalia; Carnivora; Felidae.